UCAGAUGCGAAAGCGUGGGUAGCAAACAGGAUUAGAUACCCUGGUAGUCCACGCCGUAAACGCUGUCUACUUGGAGGUUGAGGUUUUAGACUUUGGCUUUCGGCGCUAACGCAUUAAGUAGACCGCCUGGGGAGUACGGCCGCAAGGUUAAAACUCAAAUGAAUUGAUGGGGGCCCGCACAAGCGGUGGAGCAUGUGGUUUAAUUCGAUGCAACGCGAAGAACCUUACCUACUCUUGACAUCCAGCGAAGCCUUUAGAGAUAGAGGCGUGCCUUCGGGAGCGCUGAGACAGGUGCUGCAUGGCUGUCGUCAGCUCGUGUUGUGAAAUGUUGGGUUAAGUCCCGCAACGAGCGCAACCCUUAUCUUUGUUUGCCAGCACGUAAUGGUGGGAACUCCAGGGAGACUGCCGGUGAUAAACCGGAGGAAGGUGGGGACGACGUCAAGUCAUCAUGGCCCUUACGAGUAGGGCUACACACGUGCUACAAUGGCAGAUACAGAGGGCAGCGAGACAGCGAUGUUUAGCGAAUCCCUUAAAGUUUGUCGUAGUCCGGAUUGGAGUCUGCAACUCGACUCCAUGAAGUCGGAAUCGCUAGUAAUCGUGGAUCAGAAUGCCACGGUGAAUACGUUCCCGGGCCUUGUACACACCGCCC
This 649-nucleotide ribosomal RNA is filed under the name uncultured bacterium. Its description in RNAcentral is "bacterial SSU rRNA". It matches the Rfam family "Bacterial small subunit ribosomal RNA", at positions 747 to 1395 of the family's 1533-position model. The record is from RNAcentral.